UUUACUAUGGCAAAUAUUGAAGAGCUUGACAUGUUGUUUAUGCAUUUAAUUUUGAAAUUAUUGUUGGUGAAUGGUGACAUAAAAGGUCUUAAAUUGUUGUCAGUUUCACAGCGCAGUCAUUAAAAGGCUAGGCUAAAGCCUAGUUCUAAAACUCAACUAUGAAAUAAUAUAGACUGCUGAAAAAGCAUGACAGAUAAUUUUAUGAAGCUUUGUAGUUCAACAUUGAUAAAAAGAUGACUGCAAAUAACACUUGUAAAAAGGAUUAAGAUGAAACUAGAACAAAAGAGAGGUAUAAGAAUCACGUUCCUUAAAAAAAUUCACAAGAAUAGAACUUGUUCUUUAGAAAUCAUAUAACAGGUAUUUACAUUAUCUUCUGAACAAGAANNNNNNNNNNNNNNNNNNNNNNNNNNNNNNNNNNNNNNNNNNNNNNCAGAUCCAACUCUCAACAGACAAUCUAGCAGCAAAAGAAAACUGAUCAUAAAAAAAAUUGAAAAUCAAAGUGAGACAAAUGUUUUGUGCUUUUCUCAACAAGUUUGUUUACCAUUUUCAAAGAUUGAUUUUCAUCGAGGAGCAUGAAUAAGAUGCACCACCAAUCCUGUAAAAAUAUACAGCGCGAGUAUGUAUUUAUCCCUUCUUAUCAUAAAAGAACAUCAACGACCAGAGAAAAUAUCCAUACCCAACUACGUAACAAACUUUUCCCUACAAAAGAAACAACAAUAACUAAAGCCUUUUUACCCAUUAGGUUAAGCAGCUACAUAAAUGAAAUGACGCUAAAACAAAGUGAAAAUAGUAUUAAUGUAUAAAUAGAAAGAAAAAAAACUUUACCUAGUUUUGAUUAUAUAAUAGACCUCUCUCAAUCAUUUCAUGACGAAGUUUAUUUGCUUUAUCAUUUUCACCUUUUUCCAAGAGGGAAAGAAUAAUUGUUUCAUAAGUUUCAUCAUCCGGAAUACAACGAUUGGGUUCCAUUUUUGAUAGCAUGGUAAAUGCUUCGUCAAACAAGCCCUUGUUGCAAAAUCCCCUGAUCAUAGCAUUAUAUGUAUAGACAUGUAGAUUGUAGCCUUUGACCAAAAGAUCUUCAAAAACCUUUCUUGCAUCCUCCGGUCUCCCAUUUAUACACAAUCCAUGUAUAAGAAUAGUGUACGUAUGCAUGCUUGGCUGAAUACCCUUCUCUAUAAUUUUGGUUAAUAAUGCAAUUGCCUCGUCAACAUGAUGGUUUUUGAACAAAGCAUCCAAUAUAGAAUUGUAAGUUAACAAAUUAGGUGGUUGAGCUCUAUCAGGCAUUUCAUCGACAAGCUCCAAUGCAUAUUCAAUUCUUCCUGUUUUACACAAACCAUCAAUGAGUGAACUGUAAGUUACCACAUCAGGAAUAAUGUUUCUACAACGCAUUUCAUCGACAAGCUCCAAAGCAUAUUCGAUGCUUCCCGAUUUACACAAACCAUCAAUAAGUGAAGUGUAAGUCACCACAUUAGGAAUAAUGUUUCUACAACGCAUUUCAUCGACAAGCUCCAAAGCAUAUUCGACUCUUCCCAACUUGCACAAACCAUCAAUAAGUGAAGUGUAAGUCACCACAUCAGGAAUAAUGUUUCUACAACGCAUUUCAUUGACAAGCUCCAAAGCAUAUUCGAUUCUUCCUGACUUGCACAAACCAUCAAUAAGUGAAUUGUAAGUCACCACAUUAGGAAUAAUUUUUCUACAAUGCAUUUCAUCGAGAAGCUCCGAUGCAUAUUCGAUUCUUCCUGAUUUGCACAAACCAUCAAUAAGUGAAGUGUAAGUCACCACAUUAGGAAUAAUUUUUCUACAACGCAUUUCAUCGAGAAGCUCCAAUGCAUAUUUGAUUCUUCCUGAUUUGCACAAUCCAUCAAUAAGUGAAUUGUAAGUCACCACAUUAGGAAUAAUUUUUCUACAACGCAUUUCAUCGACAAGCUCCAAAGCAUAUUCGACUCUUCCCAACUUGCACAAACCAUCAAUAAGUGAACUGUAAGUCACCACAUUAGGAAUAAUUUUUCUACAACGCAUUUCAUCGACAAGCUCCAAAGCAUAUUCGACUUUUCCCAACUUGCACAAACCAUCAAUAAGUGAACUGUAAGUCACCACAUCAGGAAUAAUGUUUCUACAACGCAUUUCAUCGACAAGCUCCAAAGCAUAUUCGAUUCUUCCUGAUUUGCACAAACCAUCAAUAAGCGAAGUGUAAGUCACGACAUCAGGAAUAAUUUUUCUAUGAUGCAUUUCAUUGAAGAGAUUGACGGCUUCAUCUACCAUUUUAAGUUUACAAAAUCCAUUAAUCAAGAUACUGUAGCUCCAAGCCUCAGGAGGCACUCCAUUCUUAGCCAUAGUGUUGAGUAUAUCCUUAGCAUUGUUGAUUUCUCCAACUUGACAUAACCCAUUGAUGAGUGUAGUAAAAGUUAUGACAUUUGGGUGAUAACCCUUUUUGAGAAUAGUGGCAAAUACAGCAAAUGAAAGAGAGAUUUGACCCAAUUGAGAAAANN
RNAcentral lists this long non-coding RNA (2486 nucleotides) under Trifolium pratense (red clover). RNAcentral describes it as "long non-coding RNA (TPRA_LNC001405)". The record is from RNAcentral. Lineage: Eukaryota; Viridiplantae; Streptophyta; Magnoliopsida; Fabales; Fabaceae.